GGCCGAACCCUUGAUUAACAUGGUACAAGGAAUAAAGGCCCUCUUAGUGUCCACGUACCACCGGUGGUACGCAAGAAGGAUUCUUUACAAGUCUACACAUUGAAAGCUCGGGUGGUAUGCCAGUGAAAAGAGCGGAGAACCGAAUUAAAAAUUAAAUUUUAUAAUAAUAGUAUUUUGUUCUGAAAAAUUUAUUUAUGUUUAUUAGUGUUGGAGAAUUCGCUACUAGAAUAUUUGCACACGAAGGCCUUCAUCAAUAGCCUUACAUUCAAUUGAUAAACGUGAGUUGAAUGAAAGAAAUGGCAGAAGCAGCAGUUUCAAGUUACGAGAAGAGUAUUGUCAUUUAUGAAGCUGACGACAAAAAAGUUGCAAAUUUGAGAAUGGUAAUCAAUAUGUGACGAUGCUCAAGAACUGUACGCAAGUUCACGUUGGACCAAAAAUAGAAAUUCAUACCGAAGGACCAAAAGUAGAAAUUAGUAGAGAUGGACCAAAAAUAAAAAUUCGUACAGAAGAACCAAA
Long non-coding RNA from Centruroides sculpturatus (bark scorpion), 516 nucleotides. RefSeq lists it as uncharacterized. The transcript has 3 exons. NCBI's taxonomy places the organism in Eukaryota, Metazoa, Arthropoda, Arachnida, Scorpiones, Buthidae. The record is from RefSeq and is a predicted model, not a curated record.